RNAcentral lists this transfer RNA (91 nucleotides) under Clostridium sp. Its description in RNAcentral is "tRNA-Ser". It matches the Rfam family "tRNA". Rfam says of the family: Transfer RNA (tRNA) molecules are approximately 80 nucleotides in length. Lineage: Bacteria; Bacillati; Bacillota; Clostridia; Eubacteriales; Clostridiaceae. RNAcentral also lists the same sequence under 5 other names. The record is from RNAcentral.
GGAGAGAUGGCUGAGUUGGUCGAAGGCGCACGACUGGAAAUCGUGUAUGGCAGGAAUGUCAUCAAGGGUUCGAAUCCCUUUCUCUCCGCCA